RNAcentral lists this ribosomal RNA (253 nucleotides) under uncultured bacterium. RNAcentral's name for it is "partial 16S ribosomal RNA". It matches the Rfam family "Bacterial small subunit ribosomal RNA", at positions 524 to 776 of the family's 1533-position model. The record is from RNAcentral.
UACGUAGGCAGCAAGCGUUGUUCGGAAUUACUGGGCGUAAAGCGCACGUAGGCGGAUCUUUAAGUCAGAGGUGAAAUCCCAAGGCUCAACCUUGGAACUGCCUUUGAUACUGGGGAUCUUGAGUCCGGGAGAGGUGAGUGGAACUGCGAGUGUAGAGGUGAAAUUCGUAGAUAUUCGCAAGAACACCAGUGGCGAAGGCGGCUCACUGGCCCGGUACUGACGCUGAGGUGCGAAAGCGUGGGGAGCAAACAGG